Molecule: ribosomal RNA, 465 nt
Filed under: uncultured bacterium
Lineage: Bacteria
Description: partial 16S ribosomal RNA
Rfam family: Bacterial small subunit ribosomal RNA
Source: RNAcentral
GACGAACGCUGGCGGCGUGCUUAACACAUGCAAGUCGAACGGAAAGGCCACUUUGGGGGUACUCGAGUGGCGAACGGGUGAGUAACACGUGAGUAACCUGCCCUUGACUUCGGGAUAACUUCAGGAAACUGGGGCUAAUACCGGAUAGGAAUCCUUGCUGCAUGGUGGGGGUUGGAAAGCUUCGGCGGUUUUGGAUGGACUCGCGGCUUAUCAGCUUGUUGGUGGGGUAGUGGCUUACCAAGGCUUUGACGGGUAGCCGGCCUGAGAGGGCGACCGGCCACAUUGGGACUGAGAUACGGCCCAGACUCCUACGGGAGGCAGCAGUGGGGAAUAUUGCACAAUGGGCGGAAGCCUGAUGCAGCAACGCCGCGUGCGGGAUGACGGCCUUCGGGUUGUAAACCGCUUUCAGCAGGGGCGAAGCUUGUGGUGACGGUACCUGCAGAAGAAGCACCGGCUAACUACGUG